GGCCGCGGGAAUUCGAUUUCCGGUUGAUCCUGCCAGACCCGACUGCUAUCAGAGUGGGACUAAGCCAUGCGAGUCAACGUAGCAAUGCGUGGCGAACGGCUCAGUAACACGUAGUCAACAUGCCCAGGGGACGUGGAUAACCUCGGGAAACUGAGAUUAAACCGCGAUAGGUCAAGAUUUCUGGAAUGGAUCGUGUCUUAAAUCUACAUGGCCCCUGGAUUGGACUGCGGCCGAUCAGGCUGUUGGUGAGGUAAUGGCCCACCAAACCUAUAACCGGUACGGGCUCUGAGAGGAGAAGCCCGGAGAUGGGCACUGAGACAAGGGCCCAGGCCCUAUGGGGCGCAGCAGGCGCGAAACCUCUGCAAUGGGCGAAAGCCUGACAGGGUUACUCUGAGUGAUUUCCGCUAAGGAGAUCUUUUGGCAGCUCUAAAAAUGGUGCAGAAUAAGGGGUGGGCAAGUCUGGUGUCAGCCGCCGCGGUAAUACCAGCACCCCGAGUGGUCGGGACGAUUAUUGGGCCUAAAGCAUCCGUAGCCGGUUGUGCAAGUCCUCCGUUAAAUCCAGCCGCUCAACGGAAGGGCUGCGGAGGAUACUACAGAACUAGGAGGCGGGAGAGGCAAGCGGUACUUAGUGGGUAGGGGUAAAAUCCUUUGAUCCAUUGAAGACCACCAGUGGCGAAGGCGGCUUGCCAGAACGCGCUCGACGGUGAGGGAUGAAAGCUGGGGGAGCAAACCGGAUUAGAUACCCGGGUAGUCCCAGCUGUAAACGAUGCAGACUCGGUGAUGGGCUAGCCUCGUGUCAGCCCAGUGCCGCAGGGAAGCCGUUAAGUCUGCCGCCUGGGGAGUACGGUCGCAAGACUGAAACUUAAAGGAAUUGGCGGGGGAGCACCACAAGGGGUGAAGCCUGCGGUUCAAUUGGACUCAACGCCGGGAAUCACUAGUGAAUUC
This 945-nucleotide ribosomal RNA is filed under the name uncultured archaeon. Its description in RNAcentral is "bacterial SSU rRNA". It matches the Rfam family "Archaeal small subunit ribosomal RNA", at positions 1 to 940 of the family's 1478-position model. The record is from RNAcentral.